Long non-coding RNA from Passer domesticus (house sparrow), 1726 nucleotides. RefSeq lists it as uncharacterized. The record is from RefSeq and is a predicted model, not a curated record. Lineage: Eukaryota; Metazoa; Chordata; Aves; Passeriformes; Passeridae. The transcript is spliced from 3 exons.
AAAGGUGGUUAAAAAAAAGAGUGACAAUUCCAGUGUUUUCCACCUUGAUCCCAACAUCACUGGCAGUGAUGACACAGCAGCAUGAAUAGAUGUCAGUGCUGUAGUGUCAUCAUCUAUGUCUGGUGUCUCGGGCUUGAAGGUUUCUCUGACAUAACUCAAAUGAUUUUGCAGAAAUAGAAAUUUUAGGGAAGAGCUCCUUGGACUGUGCAUGUGCUGGCAGUUGUGAAAAGAAAAGUGAUGCUCAUGGUUUUGUGUAUCUCUGCAUUUUUAAUCUUAUGGACAGAAAAUUGAAGAGAAUUUAGAGAGUGAUAACCAAAAGCAGUGUAGAAGCAUGAAAUUUAUAAAGAAGCUUUCAGUCAAGGCAGAUUUGUUUCAAGAACCCUUAAUGAAACCUAAAGCUGUGUUAUGGUAGUCCAGACAAUAAAUAAGAGAGAACAACAAAGUAAGAUUCCACAAAUCCCAAGUACAAAGCUUGUUUAGGGAAAAUCACAGAAUAUGCACUUGGAGAUAUCUCCAUCCCUUGGUUUUUGACUUGAACCUGAGCAAAAAAAAAAGGGGAAUGAAAAUAAUUUUAUCUCAAACACCCCACCUAAAAUGCAGAAUGCCAACAUUCUGCAGUUUGUCUCUUGUUUACUGAUCUCCCUGUUUCCAUGUCCCAUUUCUCUCCUCUGCAUGCAGACAUAUAUAGAAAUAAAAUUAAUUAGAGAAUUUGUAUUAAUCCUUAGCUGCAAAGUUUUCUUGACUUUUUGAGAGUUAAAGGCUGAUUUACUCCUCCACAAACAUAUAAAUAAUGUUCACUCUCUAGUCCCCUGUCUCUUCAUUAAAUUUUACUUUGUCAGUUCUUUUUAAAAUUAGUCUUAGCAACUCACCAAUGCAUUUUCCCACCAUGGUGUAAGUACGACUGACCUUCAGUAGGAGUGGUGUCUGCUGAAAGGCUGUGGAGGCAAGCCUAGAGUCAAAACCAGGGUCAAAUCCUAAGUAACUGGCUGUUCUGUUAAUGCAUAAUCAGAUUCUCUAGCUCCAGUGAUUUUGUCAGUACACCAUGCUCACUAUAUAAUGUUUUAAAUCCAUCCCCAAAUGCUUCAUUCACACUAUUCAACAUUCCAAGUACCAUUCCUCCCACCCAUCUGUCUGGCACAUGAAUUGCCAAACACCUUUCCUCAGUUGGGUCUUGGUGAAGUUGAUGCAAAAAGAGAUGCAAGGUGGCUCUCGCUGAAGUCCUGCACAGCCCCAGGACCACUGUGCUGGAGGAGUGGAAUCCCCAGAGCUCCCCUUGGAGUCCAGCAGCAGCACCAGGUUUGGUUCACUGCAACCAGUGCUGCUGUCUCCCUGGCAGAUCUGCAGAUCUUCAGGCUACGUGAAAUUCUUUCACCACAAGCAGGACAUAAACUUCUGGAUCAGGCAGUUGCAGCCUUCCUGGCCUAGGACUCUACAGCAAUUUCCUUGGCAACAGCCUGGAGAGGACACUGGAUGAUGGUGGCUACUUGGCUAAGGAUGUUGGAGAACAGGCUUUUUCUGCAGGGGGGUUUUCAUGUCAGUACUUGAAAACCGUGUUUUGCUGGAGGGAUGCCAUCUGCAACUCCCAAAAGAGCAGCUAAUGAACGUGCCAGUUCCUUCCUGAAGUGGUGCAAGAGAGCCUGUCCCACCUGGGUAAACACAGCCUGGGCUCCUCCCAAGCCCAGGCCACUGCUGGCUGCAGCUCUGACUGUGGAAAACGCUUGGACAG